CCUACGGGGGGCUGCAGUGGGGAAUAUUGCACAAUGGGCGCGAGCCUGAUGCAGCCAUGCCGCGUGUGUGAAGAAGGCCUUCGGGUUGUAAAGCACUUUCAGCGGGGAGGAAGGCGGUGAGGUUAAUAACCUCAUCGAUUGACGUUACCCGCAGAAGAAGCACCGGCUAACUCCGUGCCAGCAGCCGCGGUAAUACGGAAGGUGCAAGCGUUAAUCGGAAUUACUGGGCGUAAAGCGCACGCAGGCGGUCUGUCAAGUCGGAUGUGAAAUCCCCGGGCUCAACCUGGGAACUGCAUUCGAAACUGGCAGGCUAGAGUCUUGUAGAGGGGGGUAGAAUUCCAGGUGUAGCGGUGAAAUGCGUAGAGAUCUGGAGGAAUACCGGUGGCGAAGGCGGCCCCCUGGACAAAGACUGACGCUCAGGUGCGAAAGCGUGGGGAGCAAACAGGAUUAGAUACCCGAGUAGUC
This 465-nucleotide ribosomal RNA is filed under the name uncultured Klebsiella sp. RNAcentral's name for it is "bacterial SSU rRNA". It matches the Rfam family "Bacterial small subunit ribosomal RNA", at positions 338 to 795 of the family's 1533-position model. Lineage: Bacteria; Pseudomonadati; Pseudomonadota; Gammaproteobacteria; Enterobacterales; Enterobacteriaceae. The record is from RNAcentral.